Molecule: ribosomal RNA, 119 nt
Filed under: Rattus norvegicus (Norway rat)
Lineage: Eukaryota; Metazoa; Chordata; Mammalia; Rodentia; Muridae
Source: RNAcentral
AUCUACAGCCAUAUCACCCUGAACGCUACCAAUCUCAUCUGAUUGCAGAAGCUAAGCAGGAUCAGGCCUGGUUAGUGUUUGGAUGGGAGACCACCAGGGAAUACCAGGUGCUAUAGGCU